CCUACGGGAGGCAGCAGUGAGGAAUAUUGGUCAAUGGACGAGAGUCUGAACCAGCCAAGUAGCGUGAAGGAUGACUGCCCUAUGGGUUGUAAACUUCUUUUAUAUGGGAAUAAAACGUUCCACGUGUGGGAUUUUGUAUGUACCAUAUGAAUAAGGAUCGGCUAACUCCGUGCCAGCAGCCGCGGUAAUACGGAGGAUCCGAGCGUUAUCCGGAUUUAUUGGGUUUAAAGGGAGCGUAGGUGGAUUGUUAAGUCAGUUGUGAAAGUUUGCGGCUCAACCGUAAAAUUGCAGUUGAAACUGGCAGUCUUGAGUACAGUAGAGGUGGGCGGAAUUCGGUGUGUAGCGGUGAAAUGCUUAGAUAUCACGAAGAACUCCGAUUGCGAAGGCAGUUCACUGGACUGCAACUGACACUGAGGCUCGAAAGUGUGGGUAUCAAACAGGAUUAGAUACCCUUGUAGUC
This 460-nucleotide ribosomal RNA is filed under the name uncultured bacterium. Its description in RNAcentral is "partial 16S ribosomal RNA". It matches the Rfam family "Bacterial small subunit ribosomal RNA", at positions 338 to 795 of the family's 1533-position model. The record is from RNAcentral.